GAUUAAGUUAUUAAGGGCGCACGGUGGAUGCCUUGGCACUAGAAGCCGAUGAAGGACGUUACUAACGACGAUAUGCUUUGGGGAGUUGUAAGUAAGCUUUGAUCCAGAGAUUUCCGAAUGGGGAAACCCAGCAUGAGUUAUGUCAUGUUAUCGAUAUGUGAAUACAUAGCAUAUCAGAAGGCACACCCGGAGAACUGAAACAUCUUAGUACCCGGAGGAAGAGAAAGAAAAUUCGAUUCCCUUAGUAGCGGCGAGCGAAACGGGAAGAGCCCAAACCAAAAAGCUUGCUUGUUGGGGUUGUAGGACACUCUAUACGGAGUUACAAAGGACGACAUUAGACGAAUCAUCUGGAAAGAUGAAUCAAAGAAGGUAAUAAUCCUGUAGUCGAAAAUGUUGUCUCUCUUGAGUGGAUCCUGAGUACGACGGAGCACGUGAAAUUCCGUCGGAAUCUGGGAGGACCAUCUCCUAAGGCUAAAUACUCUCUAGUGACCGAUAGUGAACCAGUACCGUGAGGGAAAGGUGAAAAGCACCCCGGAAGGGGAGUGAAAUAGAACCUGAAACCGUGUGCUUACAAGUAGUCAGAGCCCGUUAAUGGGUGAUGGCGUGCCUUUUGUAGAAUGAACCGGCGAGUUACGAUUUGAUGCAAGGUUAAGCAGUAAAUGUGGAGCCGUAGCGAAAGCGAGUCUGAAUAGGGCGUUUAGUAUUUGGUCGUAGACCCGAAACCAGGUGAUCUACCCUUGGUCAGGUUGAAGUUCAGGUAACACUGAAUGGAGGACCGAACCGACUUACGUUGAAAAGUGAGCGGAUGAACUGAGGGUAGCGGAGAAAUUCCAAUCGAACCUGGAGAUAGCUGGUUCUCUCCGAAAUAGCUUUAGGGCUAGCCUCAAGUGAUGAUUAUUGGAGGUAGAGCACUGUUUGGACGAGGGGCCCCUCUCGGGUUACCGAAUUCAGACAAACUCCGAAUGCCAAUUAAUUUAACUUGGGAGUCAGAACAUGGGUGAUAAGGUCCGUGUUCGAAAGGGAAACAGCCCAGACCACCAGCUAAGGUCCCAAAAUAUAUGUUAAGUGGAAAAGGAUGUGGCGUUGCCCAGACAACUAGGAUGUUGGCUUAGAAGCAGCCAUCAUUUAAAGAGUGCGUAAUAGCUCACUAGUCGAGUGACACUGCGCCGAAAAUGUACCGGGGCUAAACAUAUUACCGAAGCUGUGGAUUGUCCUUUGGACAAUGGUAGGAGAGCGUUCUAAGGGCGUUGAAGCAUGAUCGUAAGGACAUGUGGAGCGCUUAGAAGUGAGAAUGCCGGUGUGAGUAGCGAAAGACGGGUGAGAAUCCCGUCCACCGAUUGACUAAGGUUUCCAGAGGAAGGCUCGUCCGCUCUGGGUUAGUCGGGUCCUAAGCUGAGGCCGACAGGCGUAGGCGAUGGAUAACAGGUUGAUAUUCCUGUACCACCUAUAAUCGUUUUAAUCGAUGGGGGGACGCAGUAGGAUAGGCGAAGCGUGCGAUUGGAUUGCACGUCUAAGCAGUAAGGCUGAGUAUUAGGCAAAUCCGGUACUCGUUAAGGCUGAGCUGUGAUGGGGAGAAGACAUUGAGUCUUCGAGUCGUUGAUUUCACACUGCCGAGAAAAGCCUCUAGAUAGAAAAUAGGUGCCCGUACCGCAAACCGACACAGGUAGUCAAGAUGAGAAUUCUAAGGUGAGCGAGCGAACUCUCGUUAAGGAACUCGGCAAAAUGACCCCGUAACUUCGGGAGAAGGGGUGCUCUUUAGGGUUAACGCCCAGAAGAGCCGCAGUGAAUAGGCCCAAGCGACUGUUUAUCAAAAACACAGGUCUCUGCUAAACCGUAAGGUGAUGUAUAGGGGCUGACGCCUGCCCGGUGCUGGAAGGUUAAGAGGAGUGGUUAGCUUCUGCGAAGCUACGAAUCGAAGCCCCAGUAAACGGCGGCCGUAACUAUAACGGUCCUAAGGUAGCGAAAUUCCUUGUCGGGUAAGUUCCGACCCGCACGAAAGGCGUAACGAUUUGGGCACUGUCUCAACGAGAGACUCGGUGAAAUCAUAGUACCUGUGAAGAUGCAGGUUACCCGCGACAGGACGGAAAGACCCCGUGGAGCUUUACUGUAGCCUGAUAUUGAAAUUCGGCACAGCUUGUACAGGAUAGGUAGGAGCCUUUGAAACGUGAGCGCUAGCUUACGUGGAGGCGCUGGUGGGAUACUACCCUAGCUGUGUUGGCUUUCUAACCCGCACCACUUA
This 2239-nucleotide ribosomal RNA is filed under the name Staphylococcus aureus. Its description in RNAcentral is "partial 23S ribosomal RNA". It matches the Rfam family "Bacterial large subunit ribosomal RNA", at positions 1 to 2238 of the family's 2925-position model. The record is from RNAcentral. Lineage: Bacteria; Bacillati; Bacillota; Bacilli; Caryophanales; Staphylococcaceae.